GACGGGGGGGGGCAAGUGUUCUUCGGAAUGACUGGGCGUAAAGGGCACGUAGGCGGUGAAUCGGGUUGAAAGUGAAAAGUCGCCAAAAAAGUGGCGGAAUGCUCUCGAAACCAAUUCACUUGAGUGAGACAGAGGAGAGUGGAAUUUCGUGUGUAGGGGUGAAAUCCGUAAAUAUACGAAGGAACGCCAAAAGCGAAGGCAGCUCUCUGGGUCCCUA
RNAcentral lists this ribosomal RNA (217 nucleotides) under uncultured bacterium. Its description in RNAcentral is "partial 16S ribosomal RNA". It matches the Rfam family "Bacterial small subunit ribosomal RNA", at positions 524 to 739 of the family's 1533-position model. The record is from RNAcentral.